ACGUAGGGUGCAAGCGUUAAUCGGAAUUACUGGGCGUAAAGCGUGCGCAGGCGGUUAUGUAAGACAGAUGUGAAAUCCCCGGGCUCAACCUGGGAACUGCAUUUGUGACUGCAUAGCUAGAGUACGGUAGAGGGGGAUGGAAUUCCGCGUGUAGCAGUGAAAUGCGUAGAUAUGCGGAGGAACACCGAUGGCGAAGGCAAUCCCCUGGACCUGUACUGACGCUCAUGCACGAAAGCGUGGGGAGCAAACAGGAUUAGAUACCCUGGUAGUCCACGCCCUAAACUAUGUCAACUGGUUGUUGGGAAGGUUCCUUCUCAGUAACGUAGCUAGCGCGUGAAGUUGACCGCCUGGGGAGUACGGCCGCAAGGUUG
Molecule: ribosomal RNA, 371 nt
Filed under: uncultured bacterium
Lineage: Bacteria
Description: bacterial SSU rRNA
Rfam family: Bacterial small subunit ribosomal RNA
Source: RNAcentral